AAAAUGCGAUAAGUAAUGUGAAUUGCAGAAUUCAGUGAAUCAUCGAAUCUUUGAACACACAUUGCGCCCGCCAGUAUUCUGGCGGGCAUGCCUGUUCGAGCGUCAUUUCAACCCUCAAGCCCCCGGGUUUGGUAUUGGGGAUCGGGCUGCGGUUCUACCGCGUCCCGGCCCCGAAAUCUAGUGGCGGUCUCGCUGCAGCCUCCAUUGCGUAGUAGCUAACACCUCGCAACUGGAACGCGGCGCGGCCAAGCCGUUAAACCCCCAACUUCUGAAUGUUGACCUCGGAUCAGGUAGGAAUACCCGCUGAACUUAAGC
This 315-nucleotide unclassified non-coding RNA is filed under the name plant metagenome. RNAcentral's name for it is "partial contains 5.8S ribosomal RNA, internal transcribed spacer 2, and large subunit ribosomal RNA". The stretch from base 1 to 105 matches the Rfam family "5.8S ribosomal RNA", at positions 50 to 154 of the family's 154-position model. The record is from RNAcentral.